Long non-coding RNA from Equus caballus (horse), 1591 nucleotides. Lineage: Eukaryota; Metazoa; Chordata; Mammalia; Perissodactyla; Equidae. The record is from Ensembl.
CAACAACCCAGUUAAGAAAGAAGACAAACACAAACUAAAAACAGAGAAUACAAUUCAGAAAACGUUUAUUAAGUGCCUGGUAUUUUUUUUAAUCCCUCCAUCCAACAUUCACUGAGCAUUACUAGGGCCAGGCACUGUGCUUAGCCCCUGGAAAUUGAGACACACUAAAAUAUACAAGCUGGCAGGUCACAUGGAUAAAUAAACCCAUUAUAAUAAGUUUCCUGCCAGAGCAAUGUUCAAAGUACAGCAACAACUUGGAGAAAGGCGUGUCGACCGCUCCCAGGGAUACUGGGCAGGUAUGGUGGAGAAGAUAAGCUCGAGCUGCUUGUUUGUUUUUCACUUACUAUGACAUUUUACACCAUACACAAAAAUAUAGAGACUAGCACAGCGAAUCUCCAUGUGCACACAACCCGGCUUCGACAGUUAGUAACCCAGAGCCACUUUUGAUGCAUCUAUACCCCCACCCGCUUCCCUCUAUCCCUUCGUUUUGUUUUGAAGCCAAUCCUAAACCUUUUUCCCAUUUCACCCAUAAAUAGUGAGCUGCGUUUGAAGAAGGAACUGGAAUGUCUGGACCUUCCACUAGUAACAUGCUUCUCCCCAUCUAUUCUUCCGCUAGUGGCUCUGCCAGAGUUACAUACUCUUGAUUCCUGCCAGUGACUCCAAAGCCUUGGCUGGUUCAGGGUAAAGAUCCAAGACUUUACUUGAGCCUUUGAGUUGGCUGAAGCAAAAGAACCAAGCCCACAAAAACCCCAUCCUGCCUUAUCUGGAAUGCUGACCACGUUCUUCUGGUCCUUGGUCCUCAUAAAAUUGCUAACUCUUUAGAAGUUUAUUGAGCAUCUAAUGUUUGUACAAAAUGGUGGCUACAUUCCACAUUCCCAUUUGCCCUUAGCAACCUCCUGGGAAACCCCAGACAGCAUGGGGCUUGCCCUGCAGGCCAAGGUGAGGUGGAAUAGCUUCCUGUCACGACCUUGAUCUUCACUGGGUUGGGAGCAUGGUCGCAUCUGAGUAUUUGGCCUUUCUACCUUCCGCUUCUCUCUCUCUCUGAAAGGUACCAACAUCCAUAGGGUUAGUUACUCAACCCGUAACAUUAUCCUGUAUUCCCUUCCCUCACAAUUUUGUCUAUUCUUUUAAAGCCAUCCACUUUUGCCCACCUCCAUCAUCACCCUUCCAUCCAGGCCACCAUUCCCUUCCCUCAAGUACUGCAAUAUCUAAGCAUCUUUCUGCCUUUAGCAUCCCCUACGCCCGCCUCCUUCUCCACGCAGCAACUUACUGAUCUUUAUAAAACCCCCUGCUUAAAACCCUUUCAAGGUUCCUACCACGCACAGGAUCCAGACCAACCUCCUUACCACAGACAAGAAGGCCCUGCAAAACAUGGAGAAACUGAGGAUGGGCACCUUACCCAUGGUCACACAGCUAGUGAACGGAAGAGCCGAGACUCGGGGCUCUAGAGGCCACGGGCUUAACCACUGAGUCCUAGCCUCCCCACACACCCCUCCACCGCUGCAGCGAUCACUCCCAGCUGUGGUCGUCGGCCCGCUGUACUUGGGCGGGGACCGCCCGGCUGGCAGAGGAACGAGGCGUCUGAUUGGCC